Molecule: ribosomal RNA, 648 nt
Filed under: uncultured Enterobacteriaceae bacterium
Lineage: Bacteria; Pseudomonadati; Pseudomonadota; Gammaproteobacteria; Enterobacterales; Enterobacteriaceae
Description: bacterial SSU rRNA
Rfam family: Bacterial small subunit ribosomal RNA
Source: RNAcentral
GACGAACGCUGGCGGCGUGCUUAACACAUGCAAGUCGAACGGUAAGGCCUUUCGGGGUACACGAGUGGCGAACGGGUGAGUAACACGUGGGUGACCUGCCUCGAGCUCUGGGAUAAGCCUGGGAAACUGGGUCUAAUACCGGAUAUGACCUGCUCUCGCAUGGGGGUUGGUGGAAAGUUUUUCGGCUCGAGAUGGGCCCGCGGCCUAUCAGCUUGUUGGCGGGGUGAUGGCCUACCAAGGCGACGACGGGUAGCCGGCCUGAGAGGGCGACCGGCCACACUGGGACUGAGACACGGUCCAGACUCCUACGGGAGGCAGCAGUGGGGAAUAUUGCACAAUGGGCGCAAGCCUGAUGCAGCCAUGCCGCGUGUAUGAAGAAGGCCUUCGGGUUGUAAAGUACUUUCAGCGGGGAGGAAGGGAGUAAAGUUAAUACCUUUGCUCAUUGACGUUACCCGCAGAAGAAGCACCGGCUAACUCCGUGCCAGCAGCCGCGGUAAUACGGAGGGUGCAAGCGUUAAUCGGAAUUACUGGGCGUAAAGCGCACGCAGGCGGUUUGUUAAGUCAGAUGUGAAAUCCCCGGGCUCAACCUGGGAACUGCAUCUGAUACUGGCAAGCUUGAGUCUCGUAGAGGGGGGUAGAAUUCCAGGU